RNAcentral lists this ribosomal RNA (368 nucleotides) under uncultured bacterium. Its description in RNAcentral is "partial 16S ribosomal RNA". It matches the Rfam family "Bacterial small subunit ribosomal RNA", at positions 338 to 703 of the family's 1533-position model. The record is from RNAcentral.
CCUACGGGAGGCAGCAGUGAGGAAUAUUGGUCAAUGGGCGCGAGCCUGAACCAGCCAAGUAGCGUGAAGGAUGAAGGCCCUACGGGUGGUAAACUUCUUUGAUAAAGGAAUAAAGGGAGGCACGUGGGCGUUUUUGUAUGUACUGUAUGAAUAAGGAUAGGCUAACUCCGUGCCAGCAGCCGCGGUAAGACGGAUGAUCCGAGCGUUAUCCGGAUUGAGUGGGUUUAACGGGAGCGUAGAUGGGUUGUUAAGUCAGUGGUGAAAGUUUGCGGCUCAACCGUAAAAUUGCAAUUGAUACUUGCAGCCUUGAGUCCAGUUGAGGUUGGCGGAAUUCGUGGUGUAGCUGUGCACUGCUUCGAUAUCACGAA